Molecule: ribosomal RNA, 254 nt
Filed under: uncultured bacterium
Lineage: Bacteria
Description: partial 16S ribosomal RNA
Rfam family: Bacterial small subunit ribosomal RNA
Source: RNAcentral
UACGUAGGGGGCUAGCGUUGUCCGGAUUUAUUGGGCGUAAAGAGCGUGUAGGCGGCCAGGUAGGUCUGCUGUGAAAACUCGAGGCUCAACCUCGAGACGUCGGCGGAAACCCUCUGGCUAGAGUCCGGAAGAGGAGAGUGGAAUUCCUGGUGUAGCGGUGAAAUGCGCAGAUAUCUGGAGGAACACCGGUGGCGAAGGCGGCAUCCUGGACCAAUUCUGACGCUGAGUGAGCGAAAGCCAGGGGAGCAAACGGG